RNAcentral lists this ribosomal RNA (274 nucleotides) under uncultured bacterium. Its description in RNAcentral is "partial 16S ribosomal RNA". It matches the Rfam family "Bacterial small subunit ribosomal RNA", at positions 523 to 796 of the family's 1533-position model. The record is from RNAcentral.
AUACGGAGGGUGCAAGCGUUAAUCGGAAUUACUGGGCGUAAAGCGCGCGUAGGCGGUUUAGUCAGUCAGAUGUGAAAGCCCCGGGCUCAACCUGGGAACUGCAUUUGAUACUGCUGAACUAGAGUAUGGUAGAGGGAAGUGGAAUUCCGGGUGUAGCGGUGAAAUGCGUAGAUAUCCGGCGGAACACCAGUGGCGAAGGCGACUUCCUGGACCAAUCCUGACGCCGAGGUGCGAAAGCGUGGGUAGCAAACAGGAUUAGAAACCCGGGUAGUCC